GAUGAACGCUGGCGGCGUGCCUAAUACAUGCAAGUCGAGCGAACAGACGAGGAGCUUGCUCCUCUGACGUUAGCGGCGGACGGGUGAGUAACACGUGGAUAACCUACCUAUAAGACUGGGAUAACUUCGGGAAACCGGAGCUAAUACCGGAUAAUAUAUUGAACCGCAUGGUUCAAUAGUGAAAGACGGUUUUGCUGUCACUUAUAGAUGGAUCCGCGCCGCAUUAGCUAGUUGGUAAGGUAACGGCUUACCAAGGCGACGAUGCGUAGCCGACCUGAGAGGGUGAUCGGCCACACUGGAACUGAGACACGGUCCAGACUCCUACGGGAGGCAGCAGUAGGGAAUCUGCCGCAAUGGGCGAAAGCCUGACGGAGCAACGCCGCGUGAGUGAGGAAGGUCUUCGGAUCGUAAAACUCUGUUAUUAGGGAAGAACAAAUGUGUAAGUAACUAUGCACGUCUUGACGGUACCUAAUCAGAAAGCCACGGCUAACUACGUG
Molecule: ribosomal RNA, 497 nt
Filed under: uncultured bacterium
Lineage: Bacteria
Description: partial 16S ribosomal RNA
Rfam family: Bacterial small subunit ribosomal RNA
Source: RNAcentral